CUCUGAUCUUAUCUGUGUGGAGUUGAGCAAUGGAUAUGUCAUCUUCAUCUCUUGAACUUUGAGUUCGGUUAGUUUAUUUCAAUAUCUGACACCGUCACCGGAAACCACCGCGGCGACAUUCAUCUCCAUUAUAGUCAUGUUGACUCUUUGUAUACAAAACUUCAUGCAUGGUCUGUUCGUUGUAGCCACUGUUAUUUUGGGUAAUUUUAGUUUGAACAUUGAAUUAAACCCUUUUUAAUUGGUUCUUUCUUUCAAAGAUAUGUAUUUGAUUUUGUUUGGUUCAAAACUGUAGUUCUGUAAUUAGUGUUAAAUUUUCCACUUAAGAAAUUUAAUUUUGAAUUAAUAUUAUUUUCCCUAUCACACGCUCACUUUUACAACUUUAAGAUGAAUAAAUAAAUAAUUUAUAUUACAGUUUGGAUUUCAAUUUUACUAACUCUUAAUUAUGCAUUAUGUUAUGCUUUAAUGUGGAUUGAUCUGCAUAUGUCUUCUUCUGUUCUCUGAUUUGGAUUCUGGUUUUUUUUCCUCCUUGGAUAUAGUUAUAGAAUGUUAUUGAUUUUUUGGUAUUUAAAUUUGUUAUAUUUGCUGGAAAAUUCAUCAGUUGACUCCUUUAUUUUAAUUACUUCCUCACCAAAUAAUUAAUAAAUCAAAGUAAAAAGAAAUUAAAAAAAUAAAAAUAAAUCAUGAGACUUAAUGAUAUCUAUGUGUACAUGACUUGGUUGUUUCUACUUUUUCACCAAGUAUACACCCUCUAGUUGUAAAUUGACUAUUUAUACAAUAUUAUCAUUUGCGGUCAUUGUUUAGAGAUAGAUUCCUCCGAAAUGAAACUAUUGAAGAUGAGAGGUCUCCUUCUACAGAGUGGAUUGAAUUAGUUCAAUUAAGACAACGACACUGUCUCCGGUAUAAGAUUCCAUUUGAAGUACUGCUUCUUCCUUUCUUGCCUCGUAGAUGCUAUCACAUUAGCAUUCAAGAUGUUGUCUCCAAAGCUGAUCCGUUGAAGUCGUUCCCUGUGAUAUAUGCAACAGAAGAUCGUUAUCUCACACAACACGAGCUAUUAAUGUGUCUGUGUGACAACACAGGAAGGAAUACAUGAGGCUCAAGAAAUGAAUGCAAAACAAACAAAAAGGAAAUGAAGAUUUGGUGAUGGAGCUUGUUGUCUAGAUGUGAAGAAAAUGAAAGCAAAUAAGGGCUAUAUAUAUUGUUGAGAAUUUGUACCUUCUACAUGCUCUUCAAGUUUUGUAUUAAUAUAAUAUUAAUAUAAUUUAUUUCUUUUAAGUAAUACAUUAAAUCUGGACCAUAAAUUCAAAAACAGAUUGGGAGGGGAAAAAAUAAAAAAACCAGUUAAAGCCUACCCAAAGAAGAGGUAAAAACCAGUUAAAGCUUACCAAAAAAAAAAAAAUUCCCCUAACUGAGAUGACUUGGCAUAGCUAGUUGCAAUCUACAGUAGCCAAUUUUCUAUUCCUUUUUGUCCAGUAUAUGGCUUUUAUAAAUUGAACUUAAUAGAAAGUAUAUGUAAUUAGCUUUUAAGGAGUUAUAAAGAAAAACUAAACAUAAAUUAUUAUGAGUUAGUAAUUUAAGAAUGUAUUACUAAAGACAACAUUCAUGAAAGAAAUGAGAUCCUUGCCUUUGGAACAUAGAAGCAAGAUCCUCUAAAGAAGUGAGUUCAUAACCUGCAUAGAGAAAUAGAGAAAGACCAAACAUAAUGACAAUAUAAGUCUCAAACAAAGGAACUAAUAAAUUGCAUAGAGAAAUAGUUCAUAACCUUGAUCUUUUUUCAUAUAUUCAUGUUUCACUUUGACUGGAUGAAAUCUAAUCAAAUACAUUUUCCAUUUUCAGGCUCCUAAUCAAUGCAAGACAAAGACAACAACAAAAAGGAAAUGAAAAUUGUUAGUCCAAUUUUGAAGAGAAGAAAAUGGAGAAAAAAAGAAAGAAAAGGACAUUUUUAUUGUUGAAAAGGACAUUUUCAGGCUCCUAAUCAAUGCAUCUGUGUCUUCCUGUUAUGCUGUGUAAAAUUCUUGGACAAUCCCAUUGGUAUUUAUAGAUAAAGGAUUUUAAAAGAGAAAUUUAAAAUAUUAAUUUGUGAGACUUGGGCACCUAGUUUAUCUUUAAUGGGUCCGUUUAGAAUGGACAAAAACAUGAAGGAGUUUUCACCAUAAGAGUAGUAGAGAGAGAUCUUGAACUUUUGAAGAAGCUAUGAGAUGUUU
This is a long non-coding RNA of Trifolium pratense (red clover), 2201 nucleotides long. RefSeq lists it as uncharacterized. The record is from RefSeq and is a predicted model, not a curated record. Lineage: Eukaryota; Viridiplantae; Streptophyta; Magnoliopsida; Fabales; Fabaceae. The transcript has 5 exons.